UAUUGCACAAUGGAGGAAACUCCGAUGCAGCGACGCCGCGUGAGUGAAGAAGUAUUUCGGUAUGUAAAGCUCUAUCAGCAGGGAAGAAAAUGACGGUACCUGACUAAGAAGCAUCGGCUAAAUACGUGCCAGCAGCCGCGGUAAUACGUAUGGUGCAGGAGUUAUCCGGAUUUACUGGGUGUAAAGGGAGCGUAGGUGGCAAGGCAAGCCAGAAGUGAAAACCCGGGGCUCAACCGCGGGAUUGCUUUUGGAACUGUCAUGCUAGAGUGCAGGAGGGGUGAGCGGAAUUCCUAGUGUAGCGGUGAAAUGCGUAGAUAUUAGGAGGAACACCGGAGGCGAAGGCGGCUCACUGGACUGUAACUGACACUGAGGCUCGAAAGCGUGGGGAGCAAACAGGA
RNAcentral lists this ribosomal RNA (398 nucleotides) under uncultured bacterium. RNAcentral's name for it is "bacterial SSU rRNA". It matches the Rfam family "Bacterial small subunit ribosomal RNA", at positions 362 to 777 of the family's 1533-position model. The record is from RNAcentral.